Molecule: ribosomal RNA, 301 nt
Filed under: uncultured bacterium
Lineage: Bacteria
Description: partial 16S ribosomal RNA
Rfam family: Bacterial small subunit ribosomal RNA
Source: RNAcentral
CAGUAGCCGCGGUAAUACGUAGGGUGCAAGCGUUAAUCGGAAUUACUGGGCGUAAAGCGUGCGCAGGCGGUGUUGUAAGACUGAUGUGAAAUCCCCGGGCUCAACCUGGGAACUGCAUUGGUGACUGCAACGCUGGAGUGCGGCAGAGGGGGAUGGAAUUCCGCGUGUAGCAGUGAAAUGCGUAGAUAUGCGGAGGAACACCGAUGGCGAAGGCAAUCCCCUGGGCCUGCACUGACGCUCAUGCACGAAAGCGUGGGGAGCAAACAGGAUUAGAUACCCUGGUAGUCCCUGUCUCUUAUAC